UAUAAAUCAAAUUAGUAUAGACACAGAUUAGGUCCGGGAUGGUUAGGAACUCCUUUUGGGUAGGAGAAUAGUUCAGUUCAAAUCUGAAUAAUCUGAAAUAAAGUAAUAUGAAUGUAAAUUUAUGUAACCUGAGACUAUAAAUAGGAAAUUUAUAUAAAAAUUUAAAUAAUAAAAAGAAAAAAAAUCUUAUGUUUUUAAAGGAAUAUAUAAUACCUAGAUUUAAUAGAAAUGUAACGGAUAUAGAAUAUAUAUAUAUAUAUAUUUAUAUAUAAGUAUAUAAAGAAAUUAUUAAGGAUAUCUAAGCUAUGUAUUAAAGAGUAAUUAAAUUUAUUUAUUUUAAUUUAAUCAUAAAUAUAUACUCUAAGAGAAAUCAAAUAAUUAACGAAGUGAAUUGAAAUAUCUUAGUAACUUUAGGAAAAGAAAUCAAAAGAGAUUCUAUUAUUAGCGUGAGUGAAAAUAGAACAGCCUAUAAUUUAAUAAGUAAAAUGGUCAAAAAACUGUUUGAAUUUAAUGGGGAACCUUCCUCAAAGGCUAAAUAUAAUACAUAAGCAAUAGUGAACAGAGUACCGUGAGGGAAUUUGAUUUGAAAUAGUAAUUUUAUAAGCAGUUCAAGCUAAAUUAGUAAGUAAGAACGUACCUUUUGCAUAAUGGGUCACCUAGUUAACAUUAGAUGCGAGUAUAAGCGUAGAUAAACCAAUCAUUAAAAUAAUGAAAAGUGUCUAAAGUUAGACCCGAAGCCUGGUGAUUUUACCAUGAUCAGGAUUAUAAAAGUCCGAACGGUAUAUCGUAGCAAAGAUAUCCGAAGAAUCGUGGUAGGUAAGUGAAAGACAACACUGACUAGGAUAGCUGGUUUUCUGCGAAACCUAUAACAGUAGGCAAUCUGAGUAACAUCUUAGCAGGUACAGAAUUUAAUCUCAGGCAAGAUAUAAAAAUUUUAAAGUUAUUUUUUAAGUAAUUAUAAAACUAUAUUUUUAUUUUGUGCAUAUCGGGGGAUCGUGAUGAUUUUAUCGGUGAGUAUGUAGACUCGGAAUGGCAAAGAUGGAUCUUGGAUUAUCGGACAUAGAAUGAUAAGGUUGUAUGUCAAAAGGGAAACAGCCCAGAACAAGAGUUAAGGUUCCAAAAUUAUUAGUUAAGUGAAAUUAAGAAGGUUUUUAUUAAAGUCGACAAGGAGAUGGGCUUAGAAGCAGUCAUAAUUUGAAGAUCUCGUAGCAGAGCGCUUGUUAAGGUUUAAAAGCAUCAAAAAUUUAACGGAUCUAAACUAUAUACCGACACCUUGUCCAUAUUUUACUAUAUAUAAAUAUAUUAUCGUAAUUUUAUGGGGUAGCAGAACAUUGAAUUAAAUUAAGAUAUUUCUUUUUUAAAGAAAUAUAUAACAAAGAAUUCAAGUGAGAAUGGUGACAUGAGUAACGAAUAAGAAGGAAAUAAAAAUCCUCCGCCUAAAGCUUAUGGCUCUAAUUAAGUAACGGCCUCUAAGUUUAAAAUCUAAAGGUUUGAACGAUGAGUAAAUCUUUUUUUACUAAUUGACAACAUUUCUAAGUGAAGAAUGUGCUGGAAAAAAAGUAAAUAAUAUUAUAUGAAACACAAUAAACUCAAUAGAUGAGUGGAGUAAAAAAAUAUGAGAAAAUAACCGUACCUAGAAACUGAAACAAGUAAGUUAGUAGAGAAUACGAAGGCGUAAAUGAGAUAACAAUCAUAAAGGAACUCGGCAAAUUGACUACCGUAACUUCGGGAUAAGGAGAGCUCAUUAAUCUUGAUUAAUAUCAAGUAAAAAGGAAGAAGCAUAAAAUAAUGUUGUACGACUGUUUAAUUAAAACACAGCACUUCGCUAAAAGAUGAAAAAUCUAAGUAUUGAGUGUGAUGUCUGCCCGAUCCCGGCUGGUUAACAGAGAAAUCAAAUUGGGUAAAAAAAUUUGGUUUUGACGGAACCCCCGGUUAAUGGCGGCCUUAACGUGAGGGUCCUAAGGUAGCGAAAUGCCUUGGCCGUUAAAUGCGGUCUUGCAUGAAUGAUGUAACGAUACAACAGCUGUCUCUAUGAUUGACUCAGUGAAAUUGGAAUAGCUGUGCAGAUACAGUUUACCUCUAGUUAGACGAGAAGACCCUAUGCAGCUUUACUGUUACUAAUUAUAAAGUAUGGCUAAAAAGAUUUUAGAUUAUAAGGUAUAUUGAUAAAAUAAAAAUGAAAAUCCUUUAUUAUUUUACCAUAUUUCAGAAUUUAUCCUUAUUUCUUUUGAAGUAAGAGUUAACCUAGUUUAACUUAUUUAAUAUAAGUAGCCUUAGGGAAGGAACUAUUGUUAGGAGACAGUUUAUGUGGGGCACAGACCCCAUAAAGAGUAAAUGGGUGUGUCUAAAAAUUAGAUGUUAUGAGGAUUGAAUUAUAAUUAUGUUUAAUUACAUGUUGUAAGGAUUGAAUUAUAUAGAUGUUUGUGAUUUUAUGUAGUUUUACUUUAUUUUAUCUUAUACAAUUGUGCAUACCCACCGUAAUUUUUUUAUUAUCGCGUGGGUUAUGUAUCGAAGUUAGGUAAGAUUUUAUCUAAAAAGAAAUUAGAAGUAGAGAGAAAAUAUUAUGAAUUUUUUUUCUAAUAUUUUUAUAUUUAUUACAUCGUAAUAAUUAUGUAUAAUACUUAAAAAGCUCAACGGCUAAAUCUUGCCUUACUGUUUGAUUAACAACAAAUCUUACAGUUGCGUAAGCAGGGCAUAGGAUCACAAGAUGCAAAAAGGAAAGAUCUUGGAUUAUUGGAAAAGCUACGCUAGGGAUGUUUGUCCUUCAAUAAUUUUUAAUUAUUGAUAACAUAUUGGGUUAAUUUCAAGAAUUACUUAU
Molecule: ribosomal RNA, 2818 nt
Filed under: Reticulascus tulasneorum
Lineage: Eukaryota; Fungi; Ascomycota; Sordariomycetes; Glomerellales; Reticulascaceae
Description: bacterial LSU rRNA
Rfam family: Bacterial large subunit ribosomal RNA
Source: RNAcentral